RNAcentral lists this small RNA (910 nucleotides) under uncultured zygomycete. Its description in RNAcentral is "eukaryotic LSU rRNA". The stretch from base 627 to 910 matches the Rfam family "Eukaryotic large subunit ribosomal RNA", at positions 1 to 280 of the family's 3401-position model. Lineage: Eukaryota; Fungi. The record is from RNAcentral.
CUUGGUCAUUUAGAGGAAGUAAAAGUCGUAACAAGGUUUCCGUAGGUGAACCUGCGGAAGGAUCAUUCAUAAUAAGUGUUUUAUGGCACUUUUUAAAUCCAUAUCCACCUUGUGUGCAAUGUCAGUCGAUCUUCUUCAUGGAGAUCGACCAAACAUCAACCUUUAUUUUUUAACUCUUUGUCUGAAAAAUAUUAUGAAUAAACAAUUCAAAAUACAACUUUCAACAACGGAUCUCUUGGCUCUCGCAUCGAUGAAGAACGCAGCGAAAUGCGAUACGUAAUGUGAAUUGCAGAAUUCAGUGAAUCAUCGAAUCUUUGAACGCAUAUUGCGCUCUUUGGUAUUCCGAAGAGCAUGCUUGUUUGAGUAUCAGUAAACACCUCAAAGCUUUUGGAUUUUUUAAUCGAAAAGCUUUGGACUUGAGCAAUCCCAACACCAAUCUUUUUGAGAUCGGUGGCGGGUUGCUUGAAAUGCAGGUGCAGCUGGACAUUCUCCUGAGCUAAAAGCAUAUUCAUUUAGUCCCGUCAAACGGAUUAUUACUUUUGCUGCAGCUAACAUAAAGGGAGUUUGACCGUAUUGGCUGACUGAUGCAGGAUUUCACAAGGGUCGGCAACGAUUCUUGUUAAACUCGAUCUCAAAUCAAGUAAGACUACCCGCUGAACUUAAGCAUAUCAAUAAGCGGAGGAAAAGAAACUAACAAGGAUUCCCCUAGUAACGGCGAGUGAAGCGGGAUGAGCUCAAAUUUAAAAUCUGGCUGGUUUACUAGUCCGAAUUGUAGUUUAUAGAAGCGUUUUCGGUGGCAGCCUGGGUAUAAAUCCUUUGGAAUAGGGUAUCAUAGAGGGUGAGAAUCCCGUCUUUGACUCAGUGCAUGCUACUAUGUGAUACGUUUUCAAAGAGUCGAGUUGUUUGGAAU